Molecule: ribosomal RNA, 253 nt
Filed under: uncultured bacterium
Lineage: Bacteria
Description: partial 16S ribosomal RNA
Rfam family: Bacterial small subunit ribosomal RNA
Source: RNAcentral
GACGAACCGUGCGAACGUUGUUCGGAUUCACUGGGCUUAAAGGGCGCGUAGGCGGCUCGCCAAGUCGGGGGUGAAAUCUUUCGGCUCAACCGGAAAACAGCUUCCGAUACUGGCGGGCUCGAGUGGGGUAGGGGCGACUGGAACUUCCGGUGGAGCGGUGAAAUGCGUAGAUAUCGGGAAGAACACCCGUGGCGAAGGCGGCUCUCUGGGACGGUACUGACGCUGAGACGCGAAAGCGUGGGGAGCGAACAGG